AGACCAUAUUGUGGGCAUGAGUUGACAAGAACAUUGAACCGCUCCCAACAUUGGAAGAAUGUUUCAUCUUCCUUUUGGGCAAAGUUCAUGAUUGAUUUUCUAAGGGU
Molecule: small nucleolar RNA, 107 nt
Organism: Magnolia sinica
Lineage: Eukaryota; Viridiplantae; Streptophyta; Magnoliopsida; Magnoliales; Magnoliaceae
Source: RefSeq, a predicted model, not a curated record